This 2921-nucleotide ribosomal RNA is filed under the name Staphylococcus aureus M1196. Its description in RNAcentral is "bacterial LSU rRNA". It matches the Rfam family "Bacterial large subunit ribosomal RNA". Lineage: Bacteria; Bacillati; Bacillota; Bacilli; Caryophanales; Staphylococcaceae. The record is from RNAcentral.
UUAAGUUAUUAAGGGCGCACGGUGGAUGCCUUGGCACUAGAAGCCGAUGAAGGACGUUACUAACGACGAUAUGCUUUGGGGAGCUGUAAGUAAGCUUUGAUCCAGAGAUUUCCGAAUGGGGAAACCCAGCAUGAGUUAUGUCAUGUUAUCGAUAUGUGAAUACAUAGCAUAUCAGAAGGCACACCCGGAGAACUGAAACAUCUUAGUACCCGGAGGAAGAGAAAGAAAAUUCGAUUCCCUUAGUAGCGGCGAGCGAAACGGGAAGAGCCCAAACCAACAAGCUUGCUUGUUGGGGUUGUAGGACACUCUAUACGGAGUUACAAAGGACGACAUUAGACGAAUCAUCUGGAAAGAUGAAUCAAAGAAGGUAAUAAUCCUGUAGUCGAAAAUGUUGUCUCUCUUGAGUGGAUCCUGAGUACGACGGAGCACGUGAAAUUCCGUCGGAAUCUGGGAGGACCAUCUCCUAAGGCUAAAUACUCUCUAGUGACCGAUAGUGAACCAGUACCGUGAGGGAAAGGUGAAAAGCACCCCGGAAGGGGAGUGAAAUAGAACCUGAAACCGUGUGCUUACAAGUAGUCAGAGCCCGUUAAUGGGUGAUGGCGUGCCUUUUGUAGAAUGAACCGGCGAGUUACGAUUUGAUGCAAGGUUAAGCAGUAAAUGUGGAGCCGUAGCGAAAGCGAGUCUGAAUAGGGCGUUUAGUAUUUGGUCGUAGACCCGAAACCAGGUGAUCUACCCUUGGUCAGGUUGAAGUUCAGGUAACACUGAAUGGAGGACCGAACCGACUUACGUUGAAAAGUGAGCGGAUGAACUGAGGGUAGCGGAGAAAUUCCAAUCGAACCUGGAGAUAGCUGGUUCUCUCCGAAAUAGCUUUAGGGCUAGCCUCAAGUGAUGAUUAUUGGAGGUAGAGCACUGUUUGGACGAGGGGCCCCUCUCGGGUUACCGAAUUCAGACAAACUCCGAAUGCCAAUUAAUUUAACUUGGGAGUCAGAACAUGGGUGAUAAGGUCCGUGUUCGAAAGGGAAACAGCCCAGACCACCAGCUAAGGUCCCAAAAUAUAUGUUAAGUGGAAAAGGAUGUGGCGUUGCCCAGACAACUAGGAUGUUGGCUUAGAAGCAGCCAUCAUUUAAAGAGUGCGUAAUAGCUCACUAGUCGAGUGACACUGCGCCGAAAAUGUACCGGGGCUAAACAUAUUACCGAAGCUGUGGAUUGUCCUUUGGACAAUGGUAGGAGAGCGUUCUAAGGGCGUUGAAGCAUGAUCGUAAGGACAUGUGGAGCGCUUAGAAGUGAGAAUGCCGGUGUGAGUAGCGAAAGACGGGUGAGAAUCCCGUCCACCGAUUGACUAAGGUUUCCAGAGGAAGGCUCGUCCGCUCUGGGUUAGUCGGGUCCUAAGCUGAGGCCGACAGGCGUAGGCGAUGGAUAACAGGUUGAUAUUCCUGUACCACCUAUAAUCGUUUUAAUCGAUGGGGGGACGCAGUAGGAUAGGCGAAGCGUGCGAUUGGAUUGCACGUCUAAGCAGUAAGGCUGAGUAUUAGGCAAAUCCGGUACUCGUUAAGGCUGAGCUGUGAUGGGGAGAAGACAUUGUGUCUUCGAGUCGUUGAUUUCACACUGCCGAGAAAAGCCUCUAGAUAGAAAAUAGGUGCCCGUACCGCAAACCGACACAGGCAGUCAAGAUGAGAAUUCUAAGGUGAGCGAGCGAACUCUCGUUAAGGAACUCGGCAAAAUGACCCCGUAACUUCGGGAGAAGGGGUGCUCUUUAGGGUUAACGCCCAGAAGAGCCGCAGUGAAUAGGCCCAAGCGACUGUUUAUCAAAAACACAGGUCUCUGCUAAACCGUAAGGUGAUGUAUAGGGGCUGACGCCUGCCCGGUGCUGGAAGGUUAAGAGGAGUGGUUAGCUUCUGCGAAGCUACGAAUCGAAGCCCCAGUAAACGGCGGCCGUAACUAUAACGGUCCUAAGGUAGCGAAAUUCCUUGUCGGGUAAGUUCCGACCCGCACGAAAGGCGUAACGAUUUGGGCACUGUCUCAACGAGAGACUCGGUGAAAUCAUAGUACCUGUGAAGAUGCAGGUUACCCGCGACAGGACGGAAAGACCCCGUGGAGCUUUACUGUAGCCUGAUAUUGAAAUUCGGCACAGCUUGUACAGGAUAGGUAGGAGCCUUUGAAACGUGAGCGCUAGCUUACGUGGAGGCGCUGGUGGGAUACUACCCUAGCUGUGUUGGCUUUCUAACCCGCACCACUUAUCGUGGUGGGAGACAGUGUCAGGCGGGCAGUUUGACUGGGGCGGUCGCCUCCUAAAAGGUAACGGAGGCGCUCAAAGGUUCCCUCAGAAUGGUUGGAAAUCAUUCAUAGAGUGUAAAGGCAUAAGGGAGCUUGACUGCGAGACCUACAAGUCGAGCAGGGUCGAAAGACGGACUUAGUGAUCCGGUGGUUCCGCAUGGAAGGGCCAUCGCUCAACGGAUAAAAGCUACCCCGGGGAUAACAGGCUUAUCUCCCCCAAGAGUUCACAUCGACGGGGAGGUUUGGCACCUCGAUGUCGGCUCAUCGCAUCCUGGGGCUGUAGUCGGUCCCAAGGGUUGGGCUGUUCGCCCAUUAAAGCGGUACGCGAGCUGGGUUCAGAACGUCGUGAGACAGUUCGGUCCCUAUCCGUCGUGGGCGUAGGAAAUUUGAGAGGAGCUGUCCUUAGUACGAGAGGACCGGGAUGGACAUACCUCUGGUGUACCAGUUGUCGUGCCAACGGCAUAGCUGGGUAGCUAUGUGUGGACGGGAUAAGUGCUGAAAGCAUCUAAGCAUGAAGCCCCCCUCAAGAUGAGAUUUCCCAACUUCGGUUAUAAGAUCCCUCAAAGAUGAUGAGGUUAAUAGGUUCGAGGUGGAAGCAUGGUGACAUGUGGAGCUGACGAAUACUAAUCGAUCGAAGACUUAAUCAA